RNAcentral lists this ribosomal RNA (433 nucleotides) under uncultured bacterium. RNAcentral describes it as "partial 16S ribosomal RNA". It matches the Rfam family "Bacterial small subunit ribosomal RNA", at positions 29 to 507 of the family's 1533-position model. The record is from RNAcentral.
AACGAACGCUGGCGGCAGGCCUAACACAUGCAAGUCGAGCGCGCCCUUCGGGGUGAGCGGCGGACGGGUGAGUAACGCGUGGGAACGUUCCCUUUUCUACGGAAUAUCCUCUGGAAACUGAGAGUAAUACCGUAUACGCCCUUUUGGGGAAAGAUUUAUCGGAAAAGGAUCGGCCCGCGUUGGAUUAGGUAGUUGGUGGGGUAAUGGCCUACCAAGCCGACGAUCCAUAGCUGGUUUGAGAGGAUGAUCAGCCACAAUGGGACUGAGACACGGCCCAGACUCCUACGGGAGGCAGCAGUGGGGAAUCUUAGACAAUGGGGGCAAGUGUGAUCUAGCCAUGCCGCGUGAGUGAUGAAGGCCUUAGGGUUGUAAAGCUCUUUCAGCUGGGAAGAUAAUGACGGUACCAGAAGAAGAAGCCCCGGCUAACUCCGUG